CUGGGCUACGGGGACAUGUACCCACAGACGUGGCUGGGUAUGAUAGUGGGGGCGCUGUGUGCUCUGGCCGGCGUGCUGACCAUCGCCAUGCCCGUCCCCGUGAUCGUCAAUAAC
Poecilia formosa (Amazon molly) is the source of this 114-nucleotide non-coding RNA. NCBI's taxonomy places the organism in Eukaryota, Metazoa, Chordata, Actinopteri, Cyprinodontiformes, Poeciliidae. The record is from Rfam.